This is a long non-coding RNA of Cynoglossus semilaevis (tongue sole), 508 nucleotides long. RefSeq lists it as uncharacterized. The transcript has 3 exons. The record is from RefSeq and is a predicted model, not a curated record. NCBI's taxonomy places the organism in Eukaryota, Metazoa, Chordata, Actinopteri, Pleuronectiformes, Cynoglossidae.
GAACACAGGAAGAGCAACACUAGCAUGACUGGCAGCUGUCACAUGGACCAGAAUCAUCACCAGACGACAGUGACUGGCCUGGCUCCAUGUACCAAAUGUGGACCGAAACUGGAGUUUCGGAAGAAACCCACGCACGCACAUGGUCAACAUGAAAAUUCCAUCCUUCUUGAUGUAAAGGUAAGUGUUACUGUGAUCUAUAGAUAUUUGUGAUGGUACAGAGGUGUUGGCAGUAGUUCUAAAACCUUAUACCAGGCAACAAGGACUUUUUUUGUUUUUCUCUUAAUACCUACACAUUACAAAUGCUGUUUUAUACAGUGUCCAACUGACCUGCCUGCAGUCCAGAUCUGUCUCCUAUUGAAAACCAUUGUCCCAGCACUGACCAUGAACUGUUGAACUAUUGGGUCAAAAUUCAAAGGACAAUCUAAGUUGUAGGAUAAACAUGUACUGAACAGUCUACUGUUGACAACACUUUAACCAGAAGUACUGAAUCUGAACUAUUACACUUACG